CACCGCGGUUAUACGAGAGGUCCAAGUUGAUAGAAACCGGCGUAAAGAGUGGUUAGGAUAAUCUUACUUAACUAAAGCCAAACACCUUCAGAACUGUUAUACGUACCCGAAGGCAUGAAGAACCACUACGAAAGUGGCUUUACUAGCCCUGAACCCACGAAAGCUAUGCCA
This 171-nucleotide ribosomal RNA is filed under the name Myripristis kochiensis. Its description in RNAcentral is "partial 12S ribosomal RNA". Lineage: Eukaryota; Metazoa; Chordata; Actinopteri; Holocentriformes; Holocentridae. The record is from RNAcentral.